CUGGCUCAGAACGAACGCUGGCGGCGCGUCUUAAGCAUGCAAGUCGAACGGCAAGAGGUAGCAAUACCUCCUAGAGUGGCGGACUGGUGAGUAACACGUGGGUGACAUACCCUUCAGAUGGGGAUAGCUAUUAGAAAUAGUAGAUAAUACCGAAUACGAGCACAGGGGUUAGAGAUCUGUGAGGAAAGGAGCUAAGGCUCCGCUGAAGGAAUGGCCUGCGGCCCAGUUAGCUAGUUGGUGAGGUAAGAGCCCACCAAGGCGAUGAUGGGUAUCCGGCCUUAGAGGGUGAACGGACACAUUGGGACUGAGAUACGGCCCAGACUCCUACGGGAGGCAGCAGCUAAGAAUAUUCCGCAAUGGACGAAAGUCUGACGGAGCGACGCCGCGUGGAUGAAGAAGGCCGGAAGGUUGUAAAAUCCUUUUGAAACUGAAGAAUAAGCGUUGUAGGGAAUGACAGCGUGGUGACAGUAGGUUUUGAAUAAGCAACGGCUAAUUACGUGCCAGCCGCUGC
Molecule: ribosomal RNA, 511 nt
Filed under: uncultured bacterium
Lineage: Bacteria
Description: bacterial SSU rRNA
Rfam family: Bacterial small subunit ribosomal RNA
Source: RNAcentral